Non-coding RNA from Podarcis lilfordi (Lilford's wall lizard), 78 nucleotides. The record is from the annotation of a GenBank genome assembly. Lineage: Eukaryota; Metazoa; Chordata; Lepidosauria; Squamata; Lacertidae.
CUCUCUGUAACUCAUUGGUAGAGCAUCUGCUUGAAAUGCAGAAGAUUGCAGGUUCAAUCCCUGACAUCUCCAGGUAGG